CCUACGGGAGGCAGCAGUGAGGAAUAUUGGUCAAUGGACGAGAGUCUGAACCAGCCAAGUAGCGUGAAGGAUGACUGCCCUAUGGGUUGUAAACUUCUUUUAUAUGGGAAUAAAAUGUUCCACGUGUGGGAUUUUGUAUGUACCAUAUGAAUAAGGAUCGGCUAACUCCGUGCCAGCAGCCGCGGUAAUACGGAGGAUCCGAGCGUUAUCCGGAUUUAUUGGGUUUAAAGGGAGCAUAGGUGGAUUGUUAAGUCAGUGGUGAAAGUUUGCGGCUCAACCGUAAAAUUGCAGUUGAAACUGGCAGUCUUGAGUACAGUAGAGGUGGGCGGAAUUCGUGGUGGAGCGGUGAAAUGCUUAGAUAUCACGAAGAACUCCGAUUGCGAAGGCAGCUCACUGGACUGUAACUGACGUUGAGGCUCGAAAGCGUGGAGAGCAAACAGGAUUAGAUACCCGAGUAGUC
Molecule: ribosomal RNA, 460 nt
Filed under: uncultured bacterium
Lineage: Bacteria
Description: partial 16S ribosomal RNA
Rfam family: Bacterial small subunit ribosomal RNA
Source: RNAcentral